CUGGCUCAGAUUGAACGCUGGCGGCGUGCCUAACACAUGCAAGUCGAACGCGAAAGUCUCUUCGGAGAUGAGUAGAGUGGCGCACGGGUGAGUAACGCGUGGAUAAUCUACCUAUUGGUACGGGACAACAGUUGGAAACGACUGCUAAUACCGUAUACGCUGGAAACGGGAAAGGGGGCCUCU
Molecule: ribosomal RNA, 183 nt
Filed under: Halodesulfovibrio aestuarii
Lineage: Bacteria; Pseudomonadati; Thermodesulfobacteriota; Desulfovibrionia; Desulfovibrionales; Desulfovibrionaceae
Description: 16S rRNA. Bacterial SSU
Rfam family: Bacterial small subunit ribosomal RNA
Source: RNAcentral